GGUGAAAUGCAGAAGAAGAAGAACUACUAAUUUACGUAAAUCAAAAUCCAAAA
RNAcentral lists this small RNA (53 nucleotides) under Arabidopsis thaliana (thale cress). RNAcentral describes it as "ATSL108160". The record is from RNAcentral. Lineage: Eukaryota; Viridiplantae; Streptophyta; Magnoliopsida; Brassicales; Brassicaceae.